GAUGAAGAACGCAGCGAAAUGCGAUAAGUAAUGUGAAUUGCAGAAUUCAGUGAAUCAUCGAAUCUUUGAACGCACAUUGCGCCCCUUGGUAUUCCGAGGGGCAUGCCUGUUCGAGCGUCAUUAUAACCCCUCAAGCUCAGCUUGGUGUUGGGGCCUGCUGCACUGGCAGCCCUUAAAAUCAGUGGCGGCGCCAUCUGGCUCUAAGCGUAGUAAUUCUUCUCGCUAUGGAGUCCUGGUGGAUGCUUGCCAUCAACCCCCAAUUUUUCUAUGGUUGACCUCGGAUCAGGUAGGGAUACCCGCUGAACUUAAGCAUAUCAAUAAGCGGAGGA
This 329-nucleotide unclassified non-coding RNA is filed under the name soil metagenome. Its description in RNAcentral is "partial contains 5.8S ribosomal RNA, internal transcribed spacer 2, and large subunit ribosomal RNA". The stretch from base 1 to 120 matches the Rfam family "5.8S ribosomal RNA", at positions 35 to 154 of the family's 154-position model. The record is from RNAcentral.